This is a long non-coding RNA of Prionailurus viverrinus (fishing cat), 462 nucleotides long. RefSeq lists it as uncharacterized. Lineage: Eukaryota; Metazoa; Chordata; Mammalia; Carnivora; Felidae. The transcript is spliced from 3 exons. The record is from RefSeq and is a predicted model, not a curated record.
CGGAUUCUUCUCAUCUUCAGGAGAGCGCCAGCCUGCCCAGGGGAAGCCUUGACGCACGUCCAGCUGCUGAUUAGUAUAUGCCUCACAGUCUGAGUGCUGGUUCUUUCUCUGAGAAAUUGGAAAGGCUACCACAGGAUGCUGGGGAGCUUUAAUGGAGAGGAGAAUAAAGAGCAUAGAUACAUAGGUCCCUUACCUGCAGUCUCACUGGUGCAGUUUCCAUUACUUGCAUCAACCAUGGUCCUGAAGUAGGUGAUCAUCCUUCUGACAGAUCGUCCAAAGGAUGUUCUGAUGAAGCCAGUUGCCAUACUGUAAACUGUUGAGGGCAGCCUCUGGCCAACAGCAAUUAAGGAACAAAACCCUGCAAACAAACAGGUGAGUGAUCUUGAAAGCAUAUCUUUUCCCAGUAGAGCCUUGGGAUGUCUGCAGUCCCAGCAAACUGCUGAAGUGGAGAUUUAGGUAAUU